UAGUCCACGCCGUAAACGAUGGUCACUAGCUGUUCGGACUUCGGUCUGAGUGGCUAAGAGAAAUUGAUAAGUGACCCACCUGGGGAGUACGUUCGCAAGAAUGAAACUCAAAGGAAUUGACGGGGGCCCGCACAAGCGGUGGAGCAUGUGGUUUAAUUCGAUGAUACGCGAGGAACCUUACCAGGGCUUAAAUGUAAGUUGCAUUAGUUAGAGAUAGCUAUUUCUUCGGAACUGAUAGUGAGGUGCUGCAUGGUUGUCGUCAGCUCGUGCCGUGAGGUGUUGGGUUAAGUCCCACAACGAGCGCAACCCCUGGUUCUAGUUGCCAGCACAUAAUGGUGGGGACUCUAGAGCAACUGCCGGCGUAAGCCGGGGGAAGGUGGGGACGACGUCAAAUCAUCAUGGCCUUUAUGCCCAGGGCGACACACGUGCUACAAUGGUGCAUACAGAGGGUCGCGAAGCCGCGAGGUGGAGCCAAUCCCAGAAAGUGCAUCCCAGUUCGGAUUG
Molecule: ribosomal RNA, 504 nt
Filed under: uncultured bacterium
Lineage: Bacteria
Description: bacterial SSU rRNA
Rfam family: Bacterial small subunit ribosomal RNA
Source: RNAcentral